Molecule: ribosomal RNA, 450 nt
Filed under: uncultured bacterium
Lineage: Bacteria
Description: partial 16S ribosomal RNA
Rfam family: Bacterial small subunit ribosomal RNA
Source: RNAcentral
CCUACGGGUGGCUGCAGUGGGGAAUCUUGCGCAAUGGGCGAAAGCCUGACGCAGCGACGCCGCGUGAGUGAUGAAGGCCUUCGGGUUGUAAAGCUCUGUGGGGAGAGACGAAUAAGUGCGGGCUAAUACUCCGCAUGAUGACGGUAUCUCCUUAGCAAGCACCGGCUAACUCUGUGCCAGCAGCCGCGGUAAGACAGAGGGUGCAAACGUUGUUCGGAAUUACGGGGCGGCGGGCAUGUGAAUGCGGCCAGAAAGCCCUGGGCUCAACCCAGGAAGUGCACUCGAUACUGCAUGGCUUGAGUACCGGAGAGGUUGGUGGAAUUCUCGGUGUAGAGGUGAAAUUCGUAGAUAUCGAGAGGAACACCGGUGGCGAAGGCGGCCAACUGGACGGAUACUGACGCUGAGACACGAAAGCGUGGGGAGCAAACAGGAUUAGAUACCCGUGUAGUC